RNAcentral lists this ribosomal RNA (492 nucleotides) under uncultured bacterium. Its description in RNAcentral is "bacterial SSU rRNA". It matches the Rfam family "Bacterial small subunit ribosomal RNA", at positions 28 to 507 of the family's 1533-position model. The record is from RNAcentral.
AACGAACGCUGGCGGCAGGCUUCAUACAUGCAAGUCGAGCGGCAAGCCUCCUUCGGGAGGCCUAGAGCGGCGAACGGGUGAGUAACGGGUGGAUAAUCUGCCCUUCGGCGGGGGAUAACGGCUGGAAACGGCCGCUAAUACCGCAUGCGACGGUCGGGACCUCGGUCCGGGCCGGGAAAGGCGCUUUCGGGCGUCGCCGGAGGAUGAGUCCGCCUCCCAUUAGCUAGUUGGAGGGAUAACAGCCCCCCAAGGCGACGAUGGGUAGCCGAGCUGAGAGGUUGGCCGGCCACACUGGGACUGAGACACGGCCCAGACACCUACGGGUGGCAGCAGUAGGGAAUCUUGGACAAUGGGCGCAAGCCUGAUCCAGCCAUGCCGCGUGGGCGACGACGGUCUUCGGACUGUAAAGCCCUUUUCUCGGGGACGAACCCCCUCCGGAGGCAAUGCCGGGGGCUGACGGUACCCGCGGAAUAAGCCCCGGCUAACUUCGUG